AAGUCGUAACAAGGUUUCCGUAGGUGAACCUGCGGAAGGAUCAUUAACACGUAUCCAACGUUAAACCCCCCUGUGAACUUUUAUACUUGCUCUCUUAACUGACGGAAUUGCAAUCCCUGGUAAAUCAUUGUUGAACAGAUUUUGAUUCAGGGACCUCAGUUUGGCAGUUAGGAUUGAGCGAUCGUUGCAAGUGGCCUGGUUUCCCCAAGCAGUCAGUGUCUGAAAGUGGCAUUGAUUGUGUAAGGAUAACGCUUUUCGAUCACUAGAGGCCGACACCGGCCGGUGACCGGGUCCCUGGGUCACCAUGCCCCUUAUAAAUCACCACACUGUAACGCCGACAGGUCGCGAUAAUUCCGCUGACCACAAAAAACCGAACAACUGUUAACAAUGGAUAUCUUGGUUCUC
RNAcentral lists this unclassified non-coding RNA (405 nucleotides) under fungal sp. RNAcentral's name for it is "partial internal transcribed spacer region". The stretch from base 1 to 46 matches the Rfam family "Eukaryotic small subunit ribosomal RNA", at positions 1786 to 1831 of the family's 1831-position model. The record is from RNAcentral. Lineage: Eukaryota; Fungi.